Molecule: ribosomal RNA, 2610 nt
Filed under: marine metagenome
Description: bacterial LSU rRNA
Rfam family: Bacterial large subunit ribosomal RNA
Source: RNAcentral
UGACUUUAUAACGUAUUUAAUGGAAAACUAUGAAAUAAAAGGCGUAGAAUGGAAAAACAUAAUUCUUAGUUAGUAGAAAUAUACUGGAAAGCUAAGAGUCUUCUUCGAGUAAACUUAACAAUUUUUGUUAACUGAACUGCGUAAAUUGAAACAUCUUAGUAACGCAAGGAAAGUAAAUCAACCGAGAAGCUGAUAGUAGUGGCGAGCGAAUUCAGAAUUUUUUAAUAGAGAAAGUAAAAUUCUGGAAUGUUUUGCAAUAUAAGGUGAUAGCCCUGUAACUUUUUUCUAAUAAUUUCUUAUAAGUAAAACGAUAAAUGAAAUGUUGUUUGAAUGCAGGGGAACCACCCUCUAAGAAAGAAUACCUUUUAUUAUCUAUAGCGAAAAGUACCGUAAGGGAACGUUGAAAUAGUAUCUCGAACAAGAGAAGUGAAAUAGACUUGAAAUUGAAUACGGUUUACCAGUAAGAGCAAUUUAUUUGUGAUUGCGUACCUUUUGUAUAAUGGGUCAACGACUUAAUGUAGGUUGCGAGUAUUAAAAAGCACAGCGAAAGCGAGUUUUAAAAGACAAGAGAGUAAUCUAUAUUAUACCCGAAACCGCGUGAUCUAUUCAUGGGCAGGUUUUUGACCGAACCCGUAUUCGUUGCAAUGAGUUGGGAUGAUCUGUGAAUAGGCGUGAAAGGCGAAUCAAACGCGGAAAUAGCUGGUUUUCUUCGAAAAUUAUUUAGGUAAUGCAUUCUUGUAGGCCGUAGGUCGUAGACCUGGCCAUAGAGGGGUAAAGCGCUGUAUCGCUGAUGGGAACCUAAAGUUUUACUGAUGCGAGGCAAACUUAGAAUACUCAAAAGAAUAGUCAGACGUUAGGUGCAAAGGUCUAAUGUCAAGAGGGAAACAGCCCAGAUCAUAGGUUAAGGUCUUUAAGUAUUGCUUAGUAAAAGAUUGUUUUAGUGUGUUGAUUAUAGGAAGGUGGGCUUGGAGGCAGCCAUCCUUUAAAGAAAGCGUAACAGCUCACCUAUUUUGUAGCGCUAUGAUAUCGAAAAUGAGGGAGUUUCAAGCAAUACACCGAAACUAUGAAUAACUUGAAAAAGUUAUGGUAGAAGAACGUCCUGUAUUGAAAAAUUAAUCGUGAGAUUAGUGGUAGCUCAGGAGUGAAAAUGUUGACAUGAGUAGAAUGAAUUAAUGUUGUAAUCAUUAAGGCCGUAAGCUCAAGGUUUUUUUGGAGUAACUAAAUUUCCAAUUUAUAAUCCGGCCCCUAAGGAGUCGCAGUAUUUGCGCUUCGAUGGGUAUGUGUUUUAGUGACAACGAUACUGUGUGCGUUUAUAGAUUAUAGCAAGAGCACGGUAACGUUCAAGAAAAAACUAUUGCACUUUUAACCGUACUAAAACCGCUACAGGUGAGCGAGUAGAGUAUACUCAGGCUUUGGGCUAACGAUUCUGAAGGAACUCGGCAAAAUGGCUCCGUAACUUCGGGAGAAGGAGUACCUUUAACAAGGUGACACUAAAUGAGACUUGUAACUGUUUAUCAAAAACACAGGACUUUGCUAAAUCGAAAGAUGAUGUAUAGGGUCUGACGCCUGCCCGGUGCAGAAAGACAAAAUGGAGAAAUAUUGUGUUUCAAAAAUAAGUCCCUGUAAACGGCGGUCCUAACUCUGAGGAUCCUAAGGUAGCGAAAUUCUUUGCCACCUAAUUAGUGGCCUGCAUGAAUGGCGUAAUAACUUGUCUGCUGUCUCCAGAAUCGAUCCAUCGAAAUUGAAUUCUACGUGAAGAUGCGUAGUAAAAAUAGCUAGACGAAAAGACCCUGUGCACCUUUACUAUAUUCUUUGACUGUACAUUAAUGGAUGUUAUUUAGUAUAUGUGGUAGUCGAAGAUCCCAUAGCGCCAGCUAUUUGGUUAGACUCAAGUGAAAUACCACUUUUCGUUUAUUAAUGUUACUAAUGUUUUAUACAGAUAAUCAAAGAAGGGUAGUUUAUCUGGGGCGGAUAGCUGCUAAAGUGUAACGCAGCUGCGCAAAGGCAAUCUCAGGUAUGUCGGAAACAUACCGUAGAGUGUAAUGGCAAAAGAUUGCCUGACUGUUAGAAUAACAAUUCGUACAGGGAUGUACAUAAAUGUGUGUCGGCCAUAGUGAUCCGAUGAUGCUGAGUGGAAAGGUCAUCGCUCAACGAAUAAAAGGUACGCCAGGGAUAACAGGCUAAUGAUUCUUGAGAGUUCUAAUUGACGGAAUUGUUUGGCACCUCGAUGUCGUUUCAUCGCAUCCUGGGGCUGAAUAAGGUCCCAAGGGUUCGGCUGUUCGCCGAUUAAAGCGGUACGUGAAAUGGGUUCAGAACGUCGUGAGACAGUUCGGUUUCUAUCUACUAUUUUCUAAAAGAUCGAGAGUAUCUAAUCUUAGUACGAGAGGACCGGAUUAGCUCAGUCAAUGGUGUUUCUGUUGUUUUAUCAAGAGCAACGCAGAGUAGCUAAACUGUGAUAUCAUAAUCGCUGACAGCAUAUAAGCGAGAAAGAUUUCUCAAGAAAAUCUUUUGUAUAAUGUUCUAGACUAGAACAUCUUUAAUGAUAGGUAAAAAGUGUACGCGUAGUAAUACGUUGAGCUUACUUAUACUAAAAAGCAGCGUCCUGAAGUU